GACGAACGCUGGCGGCGUGCCUAAUACAUGCAAGUAGAACGCUGAAGGAGGAGCUUGCUCUUCUGGAUGAGUUGCGAACGGGUGAGUAACGCGUAGGUAACCUGCCUGGUAGCGGGGGAUAACUAUUGGAAACGAUAGCUAAUACCGCAUAACAGUAGAUGUUGCAUGACAUUUGCUUAAAAGGUGCAAUUGCACCACUACCAGAUGGACCUGCGUUGUAUUAGCUAGUUGGUGGGGUAACGGCUCACCAAGGCGACGAUACAUAGCCGACCUGAGAGGGUGAACGGCCACACUGGGACUGAGACACGGCCCAGACUCCUACGGGAGGCAGCAGUAGGGAAACUUCGGCAAUGGACGGAAGUCUGACCGAGGAACGCCGCGUGAGUGAAGAAGGGUUUCGGAUCGGAAAGCUCUGUUGUAAGAGAAGAACGAGUGUGAGAGUGGAAAGUUCACACUGUGACGGUAUCUUACCAGAAAGGGACGGCUAACUACGUG
RNAcentral lists this ribosomal RNA (495 nucleotides) under uncultured bacterium. Its description in RNAcentral is "partial 16S ribosomal RNA". It matches the Rfam family "Bacterial small subunit ribosomal RNA", at positions 28 to 507 of the family's 1533-position model. The record is from RNAcentral.